CCAAAGGAAAACAAAACAAGCCAACCCAAGUCCAAAUGGUGGAUUCGAUGUCAACUCCACCGCCGAGGUCUGCUACGGACCUCUUCUCGGACCCACUCGACGCCCACCCUCUCUGGUUCAAACCCAAUCUCUUUCUCUCCCCAACCUUCGACUCCGAGUCCUACAUCUCGGAGCUUCGCACCUUCGUUCCCUUCGAUACGCUCCGUUCGGAGCUCCAGGCCCACCUUGCCUCCCUCAACCACGAGCUUAUCGACCUCAUCAACCGUGAUUAUGCCGAUUUCGUCAAUCUCAGUACCAAGCUCGUCGAUGUCGACGCUGCCGUGGUGCGCAUGCGGGCCCC
This 340-nucleotide unclassified non-coding RNA is filed under the name Hevea brasiliensis (rubber tree). Lineage: Eukaryota; Viridiplantae; Streptophyta; Magnoliopsida; Malpighiales; Euphorbiaceae. The record is from RNAcentral.